RNAcentral lists this long non-coding RNA (3733 nucleotides) under Homo sapiens (human). RNAcentral describes it as "HSALNT0010361". The stretch from base 25 to 131 matches the Rfam family "Small nucleolar RNA U13". The record is from RNAcentral. Lineage: Eukaryota; Metazoa; Chordata; Mammalia; Primates; Hominidae.
CAAAUUACAAAUUUUAAAAUGCCAAUCCUUUUGUAGUUCAUAAAUGUGAUGAUUGGGUUCUCACAUGUGAGGUGUGUGAGACGUGCUUCAUUCAAACCCUGUUACAACAUCCGCACAUACCCUGUCUGUCAUGAAAGAAAAAAAAUUAAAAAAGAAUAAAAUGUUGACAAAUAUACCACAAACAUCAAAAGUCCAGGACAAAUUAUGCAAUUCUUUUAUUAAUGAAUUACCUUAUAUAUACCUUUAUAAUUCUUUUGAAUUUUAAUAUAAUCAAUAAUUCUGAAUAAAUACACAAAGCUACAUGAAAUUAAGGUAUAUAGAAGAGUAAGUAAAAUAGAUUUUAAACAUCAUUGCAUUAAGCUACCUACUUGUCAUUAUUCUUAUACUAUGUACAUGGACUUAUUUUAUAAAUAUGUGUGGUGAUUUUAUCAUUGGAAUGUUUCUUUAGGUUGUUGUGAUUCAUUGAUGAAUACUUUUUCAUUCUCUUUUGUCUAAAGCUGCUCUUUGUCUUUAGGAUGCGAUGUGAUCCAACAUGUUGGGAUGCAUAAAAUACAUGACUAAACAAACAGGCACAGUCAUUGUGAACCUGGCACUGGUCUGUGUCCUACAAUCACAGGAUUUCUGAUAAAUUCUAUUUUGUGUGAUUUACCUCAAAAAAUAAAAAAUAUUGGGUUUAUAAUUGCAUACACUGCUUAUCAUGUAUAUUCUCAACAGGACAGAACUUCCAUUUUGAUCAGGCGUCUUUGAGAAUUAAAUCCUCUGCUCAGACUUUUACAUAACUGAAGAUUGGCAGAAUUUUCCACAGGCUAGCUUCUGGGUUCAUACUUUUGAAAACUUUGUCUACGUGAUUACCUACAGACUUCCAAUGCCAAGUGCAAUAGGUUACAUUCAAAUCACAAUAUGACCUCUAGCAUUGCACCUGUCUGUCAGAUAUUGGCUGAGCAGCAAAGGAGCAUUGGAAAUAUUGCUGGAAGCCAUUCCUGCACCACGAUAGCUAACAAUAACUUAGAUAUGGAAGUGAACCACAUAAAAAUAAUCUUCUUAACCCAAACUCUAUGCCUUUUCAAGUCAGCUUCCCCUUAGCUGAAUCCAAUCACCCCUUGCCUCUUUAAGAUCACCCUUGGCCAGGCGCAGUGGCUCAUGCCUGUAAUCCCAACACUUUGGAGGGCCAAGGAAGGCGGAUCACCUGAGGUCAGAAGUUUGAGAACAGCGUGGCCAACAUGGGGAAACCCCGUUUCUACUAAAAAUAUAAUAACAAAAAAAAUUAACUGGGUGUGGUGGUGCGUGCCUGUAAUUCCAGCUACUUGGGAGGCUGAAGCAGGGGAAUCACUUGAAACCCGGAGGCGGAGGUUGCCGUGAGCUGAGAUCAUGACACUGCAUGCCAGCUUGGGUGACAGAGCGAGACUCCGUCUCCAAAACAAACAAACAAAAAGACCACCCUACAGAAGAGCAAGUGUAACAGAGGGUAAGCUGGAGAGGAAAGAGACAGAGGUCUUAACCGAUUGUAGUUAACAUAGCUCCCAAGUUUUACAAAAGCUUAUGACUAUGGGAACACAUUUCUCGGGCCCCAAGCAUGAAAAGGGCUCAUGAAAGGGAGGGGUCCUAGAACUUCAUUAACAUCAUAGUAAUUUGCCUUGCCAACCAGGAAUGAGCCCUGCUUGGAUGGACCACCUGCUCACAGUGUAUUUACAUUUACAGAAUUGGCACACUGGUGUGCUUGUGGGCAAAUGCAGGUUAAUAUGUGUUACUGUCAGAGUUUAGCAGUUGGUCAACCUCCAACAGGAGUCAGCAACGGUGUAGAAUUUCCCUGAGUUUUAAAUGUAUGUCUUAGCCCUAAAGGCCUUUGGAAAGUUAUUGGUCUUAUUAGUGAGUUCAUAUGCCAUUGAAAGAUGUUUGACUAGAAAAUGACAUUUUAGUAAACGGGUAAGGAAGAGACUUACGAAAAAAGGACCAUGAAGACACUGGGAAAAUUAAAGAGAGCCCAGUAAGAUGUCUUAUCAGUUUAUGAUUCUCUUUUGUACACUAGUAAUUUAUAAGGGAACAGUCACAGUUAGGAAUGAUUUCAGCUACAUGUAACAUAAUAGUUAACUAAUGGUGGCUUAAAUAAUAAAGAUAAUUAACUCUUAGAACAAAAAGUCUGAAGGUAGGUGACUGAUAACUCUGUUAUUUUAGGACUCUGUCACUAUCUUUACGAUUCUUAAGGUAAAAAUAUGAUUGUCACAGCUCUGGGAAUCAUUUGUUCAAAGGCAGAAAACAGGAGGCAGCUAGAUAGUGUGUGUCUAUCUCUUUUCAGUAAAGAGGAGAAAUCUUUCCUAAGCAAUUACCUAUCAGAAUUGCUCUUUAAAUCUCAUUGGCCAAAACUGGGCACAUGGGCACCCCUAGCUGCAAGGAGGAGUUGGGAAAGUGAAUAUCUGGCAAAAGGGUAUGAGAGUUUGUUGAUUGGCUUAGACUUGUCAUGCUUUAUCUUUCAGGACUGGGCACAUAGCUGUCCUGAGAAAGAAUAUGGAUUUUAUUAGUAAGGAAUAAAAGGGAUAUGGCUAUUGGGUGGCAACAAAUGGCAGAUGCAACCAGAACCUUUGGGUUGAGUAAAACUAUCUUUUUACUUAGCAAUUAUCAAACUAACAUGAAUUAAGAACACACAUGAAUACAAACAAUAAUUUCGUUAGCAAAUAUUCUGUGCUAGGAACUUGGUACUAGAUGUUAGAUAUAUAUUAUCUGCAAUUUUCACAGCAGUCCUGCAAGAUGAAUAUUCUCCCUGUUUUCAGAAAGAUUAGGUUAUAUCCCAAUUAGAGAAAUAAGUAGCUCUAUUCUGACUUCUAUCAUUGAAGUCUUGCCUUUCUUGAACUUCAAAUCAAUUAAAUCAUAUAGGAGGUACUUUUUGGUUUCCAACUUCUCUUGCUCAAUAUUAGAUUCUGGACUCAUUCAUGUUGUUAAUGAAUACCAUGAAUAACUUAUUUUUUAGUGCUGUGUACUUAUUGUUUGAAAAAAAUCAAAAUUUAUUCAUUUUACUGUAGAUUGACAUUUGGGUUGUUCCUAGUUUAGUGAAAUGAUUAAAGUAAUUAAGAUUAUUAUAUGUGAUAUGAUUAGAUCAUAAAUUAUAUGAUUAUAUAGCUAUAUGAGUAGGUGACUAAUAUAUAAGUAUAUAUCUUAUUAUAUAUUAUAUAACAUAUUAUAUUUACAGAACCGACCAAAAUAAAUCUGACAAAAAGUACUCCUUUUUGUUGGAUUUGCAAUUUGUUGGAUUUAUAUACAAGAGUAAAAUAAAGUAUUUUUAGCUUUAGUAGAUACUCUCUAAAAGAUUUCCAAAGUAGUUGUACCAAGUUACACUCCCAUCAGCAAAUUAUGAGAGAUUUAUUUGCCAAUGGUUGGCUUUGUUAUAUAUAUUAUUUUAGAAGGUAGUAAGGAAUAUGGUAUGUGCUAUGGAAAAGGAGAAGUUGGGCAAGAUAAAGGGGAUUGGAAGUACUGGGGGAAAGUAGAGCAGUUUGAAAUUUUAAAUAUGUGGUCAGGAUUGGCUUUUAUUUAUUUGUUUUUUUGACAGGGUCUUGCUCUGUUGCCCAGGCUGGAGUGCAGUGGCAUGAUCAUGGCUCACACUGCAGCCUCAACCUCCCAGGCUCAAGCAGUCCUCCUGCCUCCCAAGUAGCUAGGACUAUAGGUGUGUGCCACCGUCCUCUACGAAAAAUAUAUUUUGUAUUUUUUGUAGAGAUGGGGUUUUGCCGUGUUGCCCAGGCUGGUC